GGGAAUUGUUGGAAAGAAUUUCAAAGUUUCAAAACCAUCAAGGUUCCAAUGAAGCCCAAUUAUCCCAAUUGGACCAUUAGGGGAGUUAGGAUCGGCUAAAGGCUCAAAUAAUGCUGGUGGGUGAACUUGCAUUUCAAAAAUCGUUUGGGAGACAUAAUUGUAUUGGUAUGAAACAGUGAAUGAUUUAUUCCAACUUGUCUUUAAAAGCGUGUGCCUUGGGAACAAGCCUUUGACAAAAUAUUUUGAUGUUGUGAAAAUGUGAAAUGUGUAAAAGAAUGGA
This is a non-coding RNA of Theobroma cacao (cacao), 280 nucleotides long. Lineage: Eukaryota; Viridiplantae; Streptophyta; Magnoliopsida; Malvales; Malvaceae. The record is from RefSeq and is a predicted model, not a curated record.